UUCGAUCCACCCCCUCGGUGAAAAACCGUAAUACGCCCUGAGGAAUUCCUACCAGCAGACUUCCCUGUACUCAAAGUGAAUUGUCUAAGUGCUCUCCUUUGUCUCAUUGUUUACUACCAGCAGACUUCCCUGUACUCAAAGUGAAUUGUCUAAGUGCUCUCAUUUGUCUCAUUGUUUAUCUCGUAAUCAUUCGAUUCCGCCCCUAAAGCUAGCUCCUACUCCUCCUCCUUCCCCUUUAGGAUAGGAUCCUCCUUGGUCCUUUUUACAUAACAUUCUCGGCAGCCUCCGGUCAGGUAGGUCGGUCGCCCUCUAGCCAGUGACUAGCCCAGCUAUGGAGCUAGGUCUACACCGCCACGUCGAGACUCUCUUUCGAAAGUGAGAUACCGACUUUCAUAAGAGGGAAAGAUCACUCCGUCAUGUAGCAGAGCUGUGUUCAUCUAACUAUAAAUUUCAUAAAAGAAGAAGAAUCGUAGCGUAGGGUCGACAUAAACAAUCGGUUAAAAUAGUCUAAUGAGAAAGCAUCUGUUCACGUUCAUAGUUGCAAUAAGUUUUCUUUUUCUAAUCGAGAUUGGCUUGGUCUUCAGUCUACCCUAAGAAACCUAAACUCUCACUCCCUUGCUUUCACUCCUAAAUGCAGCCGUGAUCUUUCCCUGUAACUCGAGAAAGAAUAAGAGAGAUGGGAUCUCCUUUAGGGGUUAAUCUAUCCGAAUGUCCUAACUAGGAAAAAGAGGCUGUCUCAGAUCAUGGGACUCGAGAAUUAAUAAGAGAGAUAGGAUCUCCUUUAGGGGUUAAUCUAUGCGAAUGUCCUAUCUAGGAAAAAGAGGCUGUCUCAUAUCAUGGGAGAGUCAUCCUCCGUCUAAGGAGAAGAGGCGCCGAGAGAUUCAAUGACCAAAGGUCUUGUCACGAGCUGGACU
Molecule: long non-coding RNA, 914 nt
Filed under: Nicotiana benthamiana
Lineage: Eukaryota; Viridiplantae; Streptophyta; Magnoliopsida; Solanales; Solanaceae
Description: long non-coding RNA (NBEN_LNC023804)
Source: RNAcentral